UGCGUAGGCGGUUAGUUAAGUCUGUUGUGAAAUCCCCGGGCUCAACCUGGGAAUGGCAAUGGAAACUGGCUAGCUAGAGUGUGUCAGAGGAUGGUGGAAUUUCCGGUGUAGCGGUGAAAUGCGUAGAGAUCGGAAGGAACAUCAGUGGCGAAGGCGGCCAUCUGGGACAACACUGACGCUGAAGCACGAAAGCGUGGGAGGCAAACA
This 207-nucleotide ribosomal RNA is filed under the name uncultured bacterium. Its description in RNAcentral is "partial 16S ribosomal RNA". It matches the Rfam family "Bacterial small subunit ribosomal RNA", at positions 568 to 774 of the family's 1533-position model. The record is from RNAcentral.